RNAcentral lists this long non-coding RNA (234 nucleotides) under Ananas comosus (pineapple). RNAcentral's name for it is "long non-coding RNA (ACOM_LNC019163)". Lineage: Eukaryota; Viridiplantae; Streptophyta; Magnoliopsida; Poales; Bromeliaceae. The record is from RNAcentral.
CAUAACCAAACACAUACAAUAAUAUAGUUUCAAUUAAAACUGUCAUGUUCGAAAUCAAAUUCGGAUUCAGAUAAUUUGCAGGCUAAACAAAUCCAUUUAUAAUAUUCCUAGUUCCCCACUAAGAGGGAGAUUAAUUAGAGUAAAGGAAGAGAGAGAUGAAGUGAAAUUAAUGAAAAAGGGAGAUGAAGGGAAAUAAUGUAUGCAUGGUUCCAUGGUAUUUUAAGGAUGUAGUUA